UGGGGAAUAUUGGACAAUGGGCGAAAGCCUGAUCCAGCCAUGCCGCGUGAGUGAUGAAGGCCUUAGGGUUGUAAAGCUCUUUUGGCGGGGAAGAUAAUGACGGUACCCGCAGAAUAAGCCCCGGCUAACUUCGUGCCAGCAGCCGCGGUAAUACGAAGGGGGCUAGCGUUGUUCGGAAUCACUGGGCGUAAAGAGCGCGUAGGCGGUGAUGCAAGUCAGGGGUGAAAUCCCGGGGCUCAACCUCGGAAUUGCCUUUGAAACUGCAUCGCUGGAGUCUCGAAGGGGGUGGUGGAAUUCCUAGUGUAGGGGUGAAAUCCGUAGAUAUUAGGAGGAACACCAGUGGCGAAGGCGGCCACCUGGUCGAGUACUGACGCUGAGGCGCGAAAGCGUGGGGAUCAAA
Molecule: ribosomal RNA, 400 nt
Filed under: uncultured bacterium
Lineage: Bacteria
Description: bacterial SSU rRNA
Rfam family: Bacterial small subunit ribosomal RNA
Source: RNAcentral